AUACAGGAUUCUGUAUUAUGUCGCGUUAAAACAAUCUGGAAUAUAAAGGAUUCUGGAGUUUAUAAAGUGCAAGAUUUUGUAGAAGUUCAAUUUUUUAAAAAGAGGGCUCAGACAUGGCGACAAGAAUGAAGGUGGAGGGGAAGGAGUGGAGAGAAAGAUGCCUGUCUCCACGUGGUGCGAAAAAGACUACAGGAUUCUGUAUUAUGUCGUGUUAAAACAAUUUGGAAUAUAAAGGAUUCUGGAGGAGUCUAGGAUGGCAAAACUGGGGCGUGAUGGGCAGCAUGAAACAUAACAAAGGUGGAUAUCCGUCAUUUGCCGUCGGAGAGGAAGAAGACGGUAGGCGGGCUCAGAAGAUGACGCAGAAACAGCCGUCGAGCGAGGCGAUUAGCAGAGGCUGCAGCUCCCACAGCUCGCGUUUCUGUUUUGGCAGCGUGCGCUCGCGUGUGGAUGGAGCUCGUACGCCAGGAAGAAUUGGCGUCUCGAUGGAGCUCGUACGCCAGGAAGAACUGGCGUUCGUUGGACCUCGUCCUCGUUCGUGGGUUGCGGAGCUGUUUUUUUAUUGACUGGGGGCUCAGGAGAUGACGCAGAAACAGCCAUCGAGCGAGGCGAUCAGCAGAGGCUGCAGCUCCCACAGCUCGCGUUUCUGUUUUGGCGGCGUGCGCUCGCGUGUGGAUGGAGCUCGUACGCCAGGAAGAACUGGCGUCUCGAUGGAGCUCGUACGCCAGGAA
Aegilops tauschii subsp. strangulata is the source of this 728-nucleotide non-coding RNA. The record is from RefSeq and is a predicted model, not a curated record. NCBI's taxonomy places the organism in Eukaryota, Viridiplantae, Streptophyta, Magnoliopsida, Poales, Poaceae.